GGAUGGGACCAUACCAGCACUAAAGCACCGGAUCCCAUCAGAACUCCGAAGUGAAGCGUGCUUGGGCGAGAGUAUUACCAGGAUUGGUGACCUCCUGGGAAGUCCUCGUGUUGCAUUCC
RNAcentral lists this ribosomal RNA (119 nucleotides) under Triticum aestivum (bread wheat). RNAcentral also lists the same sequence under 1 other name. Lineage: Eukaryota; Viridiplantae; Streptophyta; Magnoliopsida; Poales; Poaceae. The record is from RNAcentral.